RNAcentral lists this long non-coding RNA (2000 nucleotides) under Homo sapiens (human). RNAcentral's name for it is "long independently transcribed non-coding RNA 299 (LINC00299)". Lineage: Eukaryota; Metazoa; Chordata; Mammalia; Primates; Hominidae. The record is from RNAcentral.
GACACUGAGCUAGGGUGGCCAUGCCUCGCCCUGACCUCAGGCCCAUGGGCCCCGUGGAUGAGCAGGGGCAUGCAGGACAGGCCUGCAGGGCAGGGCAGGGCAGUAGGGUUUUCAUCGGCAAAGCCCCGUGAUCCUCACAGUAGCCCCAGGAGUUGGACCAGCCUGGACCCUUACCCCAUUUUACAGCCAGAAACAAGAUAAGCGCCUUGCAGGGGCCCUUAACUGACUGCUGGGUUCGAUGGUUCAAAGAGAAAAAGCACGUGAUAACUUUGAAGGAGGCUGCCUGGCUGAGCUGAUCGGAUCACCUAGAGACUGGAAAUGCUUUCUGGUCUGAAGUCACCUGCCCUAUCUGGACAUUCCAUAGACUACCACUUUUACCCACGACUUCGAUGUGGCAUGCUCAUUGGACCAGAUAAGCAAGCAGUGGCAAGUGGAUUGGAGGUCUUGGAAUAUGAAGGCCUGGCCCUCGUCUCAGCUUGGAAUAAAUCUGAAGGCCCAUCACAGCUUCAGAGAUGCUUGGAGAAGGCUGAGGUCUCCCCUGUAACCUUAUGAGAACCUUGAGUUGUUGAACUCAUUAAUUCUUUGGGACCAUCUUCCUGAUGUUCAAGUUUGUGAAACAGGCUUUCCCUUUAAGAUUUGUUUUCCUCAAAAUACAAGACUAUUGAUGCUUCAGUUUUGAAGUGGAUUCUGCACUCAAGAAAUGUACCAUUGAAGAAUGGGACUGGUAGGAAGGGAAAAAAACUAAAAGGAAACGCAUUUUCGAGUUGCACAUCAUGAUCAGGCACAGAGUCCAGAUACACUUGGAGUAGCAAGCAUCCAUCCUUGUGGAGACGCACAUGAACCAGGACUCUCUGCACCCACCCCUCUCAAGUUUUAUUUUCCGACGGCUGUAAUGUUCCAGGACACCUGCCAUCAUGGAGGGUUAUCCAGCACCUGGAGGAUACCUGCUACCUAUUUUGUGAACAAUUUGGCAUGAGGAGAGAAAGGAACCUGAAGUUUUUAGCAAGGAAGCUUCCUGUCUCCAAGGGGAUUUUUUCCCACAGAAAUAUAUUGCUGAUUGGAUGUUGCCUCUCUAAUUUUGGAGACCAUAUGUUCUAGGUAUUCCGGGAAAAAUCUGCAUUUCAAAUCCUGGAUCCAUUGUUCCCAAAAGCCAUGUAAGAAUCCCAACAGAGAUAGGUCCCUCUCAUGGAUAUGUCCUAUGUCCCAGGGAUACCGCUCAAAGCAUUUUGUGGCUGAAGACAUUUAAUCUUUCAUAGAAACUCCUGAAGAAGAUGUUAUUGCUAUUAUAAUCAUAUGUAUUUGGAAAUGAAGACUUUGAAAGGUUCUAACUUAUUCAACAUUUCUCAACCAGCAUGUGGCAAAGUUCUGAAAGUCUGUUAUUCUAACCAACAUCCUACCUUGAGGAGCAAUGAUGUUCACCUGUCUGGUUGCCACAACUCACGUCCUUCUGUGGGCAGCAGAGUUCCAAGACGUUCCCCAAGAUCUCAUUUUCUGGAGGUGCAUGUCUCCCGUGACCCCCUCUUUGGAUUGCCCGCAGAGCCCGUGAAGAUGGUGUUAUCACUCCUGUGAUUACUUUACUGAUCAGGUGACUUUGAGUCAAUCAAAAGGUAGAUUAUCCAGGUGUGCCUGAUUUGAUCAGGUGGUCCCUUAAGGAGGCUUAAAAUGACCCUUUCUGAAGUAGAGUAAUUGGAAAAGUAAGAGGGUCUAUGGGUGGGGUCACCUGGCAAGGAACUGAACUCAGCCUCCAUGAGCUCUGGCCACCAGCUGACCUUUAGCAAGAAAGCAAAUCUUUCUUUGGUCAGUCUCCACAACAGGACGAAGCUGGCUGAGCCCUUGCCUUUGGCCCUGUGAGAUGCUGACCCGAGUAUCCAGCGAACACGUGCCAGAGUCCUGACCCAUGGAAACUGAGAUGAUGAGUCUGUGUUGCUUUAAGCCACUGUGUCUACAGUAAUUGGUUAGACAGCAAUAGAAAACUAAUAAACCUCCCUCUUUUUCAUUUA